Molecule: ribosomal RNA, 497 nt
Filed under: uncultured bacterium
Lineage: Bacteria
Description: partial 16S ribosomal RNA
Rfam family: Bacterial small subunit ribosomal RNA
Source: RNAcentral
GAUGAACGCUGGCGGCGUGCCUAAUACAUGCAAGUCGAGCGAACAGACGAGGAGCUUGCUCCUCUGACGUUAGCGGCGGACGGGUGAGUAAAACGUGGAGAACCUACCUAUAAGACUGGGAUAACUUCGGGAAACCGGAGCUAAUACCGGAUAAUAUAUUGAACCGCAUGGUUCAAUAGUGAAAGACGGUUUUGCUGUCACUUAUAGAUGGAUCCGCGCCGCAUUAGCUAGUUGGUAAGGUAAAGGCUUACCAAGGCGACGAUGCGUAGCCGACCUGAGAGGGUGAUCGGCCACACUGGAACUGAGACACGGUCCAGACUCCUACGGGAGGCAGCAGUAGGGAAUCUUCCGCAAAGGGCGAAAGCCUGACGGAGCAACGCCGCGUGAGUGAUGAAGGUCUUCGGAUCGUAAAACUCUGUUAUUAGGGAAGAACAAAUGUGUAAGUAACUAUGCACGUCUUGACGGUACCUAAUCAGAAAGCCACGGCUAACUACGUG